Molecule: long non-coding RNA, 242 nt
Organism: Danio aesculapii
Lineage: Eukaryota; Metazoa; Chordata; Actinopteri; Cypriniformes; Danionidae
Exons: 3
Source: RefSeq, a predicted model, not a curated record
GGAGAUCAGCCACUUAAAGGAGCAUCGCUAUGCUGCGCUCUCAGACAAACAGGUGCAGAUCGAUGAAAGCUAAAAGCACAGUUAGUGGCAGAAGAGGAGAAGUUAAGGCUAGAAGAGGAGGCUGUUUUUGCAGCCCAGCGCGAGGCAGCGCGGCUCGCUAAGGAACGAAAGCUAAAGGAGGGGAAGCCCCAGAGGACCAAACUCAGAUCAGAACCAGAGAGCAAAGACAGUCGGCACAAACC